This 417-nucleotide transfer-messenger RNA is filed under the name Anaerolineae bacterium. It matches the Rfam family "transfer-messenger RNA". Rfam says of the family: Bacterial tmRNA, also known as 10Sa RNA or SsrA, is named for its dual tRNA and mRNA-like properties. Lineage: Bacteria; Bacillati; Chloroflexota; Anaerolineae. The record is from RNAcentral.
GGGGAUGAUCGGUUUCGACGGGGAAGGCUGAUCCUGGACGGCAAGCCGAGUAUGCUUCUCACCUCGUAAAACUGGAAGCAACCAAUAAGUGCAAACACAAACGCACGCUCCUACAGCGCUCUUCCGCUGGCUGCAUAAGCCACGCAGGGAGACCUGUAGCCGGUUCCCCUGAGAGGGAACCCGUCUGCUUCAACUUCUUGUUGGCUGGUUGAAGACAGGCGACACGUUCGCCAACAUGCGCCGCCUCGAUGCUGCUAGAGGCGGUUAAGCGGCUCUUUCGGGAGUCAGCAGCUCGCUGUUAGUUGACCCGGUUGGUCGGGGCGUCUGACAGUUAAACCUUAAAUAGACCAACUAAGCUUGUAGAUGUUCAGAGGUCGAAUUUUUCGGACGCGGGUUCGAUUCCCGCCAUCUCCACCU